UUUAAAUGCAACCAUAAGAUUCCGCAUCUAAUUUUGAUCAUUCGUCUUAUUUGAAAUUUUUUUAUAAUUAGUAUUUNCAUGAAUAGUACUUUACUCGUGACUUAUGUUAUUAAUUUUUUUUCAAAAAAAAUUAAAUAAGACAGACAAUCAAAGUUGGGUGUGGAAAACCAUGACUGCACUUGAA
Molecule: non-coding RNA, 184 nt
Organism: Oryza meridionalis
Lineage: Eukaryota; Viridiplantae; Streptophyta; Magnoliopsida; Poales; Poaceae
Source: Rfam